RNAcentral lists this long non-coding RNA (466 nucleotides) under Amborella trichopoda. Its description in RNAcentral is "long non-coding RNA (ATRI_LNC003192)". Lineage: Eukaryota; Viridiplantae; Streptophyta; Magnoliopsida; Amborellales; Amborellaceae. The record is from RNAcentral.
CAUAGAAGCAAUUCAAAACCACUUGAAACCCAACAAAUAAAAAGACAUACAAACUCUACACCAAAGCACCCAUUAUUGCAGAAUGAAUAUAAAGUAGCGGUUGCAAGGUGGAAAUGGCCAUCAAAUGCAAUCUGUAAUACAUCACUUUGGAGGCGGUGCGUGUGCGAAAGGAACUUUGGGUGGUGGUGCAUGGUGCACCGGAGCAGUUUUGGGGGGUGGUGCGUGGUGCAUGGGAUCGAUUUUGACGGGAUGAGGGGGUGGAGCAUGGUUGAAAGCAGAUUUGGGUGAUGGAAAAUGAGGGUGAUGGUGGUGGUGGUGGUGGUGGUGGUGAGAUGGGGGUGGCGAGUGGUGGUGGUGUUCCACUCCAAACACAGGGACUGUUUCUCUCACUAGAAGGGCUAGAGAGAGAAAAAGAAAAGCCAUGGAAGGAGCAGCAAAACCCAUGUCUGAUUUUGGUGGGUUUCUC